UACGUAGGUGGCAAGCGUUGUCCGGAAUUAUUGGGCGUAAAGCGCGCGCAGGCGGUCCUUUAAGUUUGGUGUGAAAUCUCCCGGCUCAACUGGGAGGGUGCGCCGAAUACUGAAUGACUUGGAGUGCGGGAGAGGAAAGUGGAAUUCCUGGUGUAGCGGUGAAAUGCGUAGAUAUCAGGAGGAACACUGGUGGUGUAGACGGCUUUCUGGACCGUAACUGACGCUGAGACACGAAAGCGUGGGUAGCAAACAGG
Molecule: ribosomal RNA, 254 nt
Filed under: uncultured bacterium
Lineage: Bacteria
Description: partial 16S ribosomal RNA
Rfam family: Bacterial small subunit ribosomal RNA
Source: RNAcentral